CCAGACUCCUACGGGAGGCAGCAGUGGGGAAUAUUGCACAAUGGGCGGAAGCCUGAUGCAGCAACGCCGCGUGCGGGAUGACGGCCUUCGGGUUGUAAACCGCUUUCGCCUGUGACGAAGCGUGAGUGACGGUAAUGGGUAAAGAAGCACCGGCUAACUACGUGCCAGCAGCCGCGGUGAUACGUAGGGUGCGAGCGUUGUCCGGAUUUAUUGGGCGUAAAGGGCUCGUAGGUGGUUGAUCGCGUCGGAAGUGUAAUCUUGGGGCUUAACCCUGAGCGUGCUUUCGAUACGGGUUGACUUGAGGAAGGUAAGGGAGAAUGGAAUUCCUGGUGGAGCGGCGGAAUGCGCAGAUAUCAGGAGGAACACCAGUGGCGAAGGCGGUUCUCUGGGCCUUUCCUGACGCUGAGGAGCGAAAGCGUGGGGAGCGAACAGGCUUAGAUACCCUGGUAGUCCACGCUGUAAACGGUGGGUACUAGGUGUGGGGUCCAUUCCACGGGUUCCGUGCCGUAGCUAACGCUUUAAGUACCCCGCCUGGGGAGUACG
RNAcentral lists this ribosomal RNA (543 nucleotides) under uncultured bacterium. RNAcentral's name for it is "bacterial SSU rRNA". It matches the Rfam family "Bacterial small subunit ribosomal RNA", at positions 331 to 884 of the family's 1533-position model. The record is from RNAcentral.